AGUUGCUCUCUCCCUCUGCCUUCUUCUCCUCCAUCUUCUUCUUCUCUUUCCUCCUCCCUUGUUCUUUCUCCUCCUCCUUCUUUUUCCAUCCUGCAUCAAUUUGGUAUCAGAAGCAUCCUAAUCUCCCUGCCUCCCGAGCAUGUCUUGCAUCAAUUUGGUACAGAGCUUGUCCUAACCUGCAUCAAUAGUACAUAAUAGGACCGGACAGUUACCAUGUUGAAGAAAGGAGUAGAGGAUCGUACAUAUUAUAAUAGUACAUAUUUAUAAUAUGUUGAAGAAAGGAGUCAAUUCAGAAAUUAAGGGUUGGUUAGAACACUUUCAACAUUAAUGUUUGAUUACCAAAUUCUUUGAUGUGAAUGGGAAAAUAGCUGUAAAAUUCCUGAACGGGUUUCACCGCAUGUAAACAUGACAUUAUGUCACUAAUCAAAAUUUUGACAAUACCUUACAAGCUCCCAAGUUGAACAAUGUAAUGAUUAUCUGGCUCGAGCUGGCUGACUGGGUUGACUACAUUAGUGGCUGUGCUUAUGACAGUCCAUGAGCACUUCUAAUUAGUGAUUCCUUCAUACAUAAACUUAUGCAUGACAUUAGAUUCUUUGAAAAUUUCAACCCGUC
This 612-nucleotide long non-coding RNA is filed under the name Phoenix dactylifera (date palm). Its description in RNAcentral is "long non-coding RNA (PDAC_LNC016871)". Lineage: Eukaryota; Viridiplantae; Streptophyta; Magnoliopsida; Arecales; Arecaceae. The record is from RNAcentral.